RNA transcript from Uranotaenia lowii, 3264 nucleotides. It is a transcript of the gene named low-density lipoprotein receptor-like, with no coding region annotated. The transcript is spliced from 4 exons. The record is from RefSeq and is a predicted model, not a curated record. Lineage: Eukaryota; Metazoa; Arthropoda; Insecta; Diptera; Culicidae.
AUCCACUAAAUCGAUGCGUCUUCUUUUCCACAGCAACCAUGCGCAACGGAACCGACGGCACCAUCAUCCAGCCAGGCCUGGUCGAGAACGAUUCCGGACUUGUGGCGCUAAUUGCCAUCGGCAUCGUUUCCCUGUUCGUGAUCGCCCUGUUCGGGGUCACCUACCUAAUCUACCGGCAUCACGUGCACCGGAACAGCACCUCGAUGAACUUCGACAAUCCGGUGUAUCGGAAGACGACCGAGGACCAGUUCAGCCUGGAGAAGAACCUGCCCAACCGCAUGUACCCGAGCACCGUCGGCGAAGAGCGGCACUACUAAACUCAACUAACCAUCAUAAAUCGACGAAACCCCAAUUUGAAAUAACAAAACAAAAUAUCAAUCGAAAGAGAGAGCAACAACGCUAGACUAAACGACAACUACAACAACAUCCGGUCUAGAUGCGCUGCUGCUGCUGUUGAGUCAGCAAUUUUGAGUUGAAACAACUCGAAAUCAAAACUGAAAAUUUAUCACAAAUCACCACCCAGUCUCACCAUGUAGUUGCACAGGCCCAGGAACCGCUCAACAGACCAGCCACCAACGAUUAUGUCUAGCUGGUCUAGUCAAGCCAGGUGGAAAAUCUUCCAAGUGAAAUCAAAAGUAUGAGAAAGAAGAAACACCUAAUCCAGCAGUAGAGGAGCGAAGUCUGUUCGACUGAUAAACAGACCAAACGUCGAGGAAAACGUGUAAAAUUAUUAAUAACGAAAAAAAAUCUAAGGGGCAGCAGCAGAAAACUGAAAACACAAAACCGUAAACAUGUUCCAUCCUUGUGACUACUUAACGGAGGAGAAAUUUGGACUACACGUGUAGAGUUUAUUAGAAAUGUGGUGUGGUUUUUCAAGCGUGUUUUUUUUACAAAAGAAAAGUUUAGUUUUUUUUAAGGGGUUAAUCCGCCCUUUUCCCAGCUUAAUCCCAAAAGUUGUAUGUUUGUUUUCAUAGAUGCUUAGAAGAGGCAGCUCCUCGUUUAUUGAUUCUGUUUAAUUUUUCUGGUUUAUGUUAGUUGAUCCAAAAUAGAGCCAAGAAGCUGUUAGCUUACAUACAGAUACACGUUGUACGUAAAAAUUAUGUAUACUUUUUGUAGCUUAGAAACAGGAGAAGAACGUGAAGAAAAAAAUUAUAUCGAGUGUGAUCAUUUGAGUGAAGAUUUCUGAGCAGCUUCUUAAAAGAUAUUUAAAUGAAUCCAAAACUAAUGUUUUGCACUUUAACGGUCAACCGGAAGAAUCGGCGAAAAAAGUUUAUUUUACAUAUUAAGGAAAAAGUCUUACGGUCAAACCGAAAAAAAUAUAUAUGAAUACGUUUAUUUUGUUAUUGUAAAAAUUGUAGCUGAAAUUACUCGGACUCUUUCUAGUUGUUUUUUGGAUAUAUAGUGAACGUUUAUCAGAAACCUCCUUACAAAUGAAUAUUUUUGCGUCCAUCCGAUCGUUACACGAGGCAACAAUUUAUUGCUUAAUCUUGUCAGCCUGAUGAAUAAACUUAAAUAAAUUUGUAAAAAACAAAACAAAUCGAUAGCAAAAUGUUUAAAUAUAGACUAACGAUGAUUUAUUAAAGGUGUAGAUAUUAUUUUAUCAAUAUUUUUAUAUUCAUUAUAUUACUAACUCUUGCAAGUCUUAAAAUGAGAUAAUCCAGAAGUAGAACAACAGUCUUAGCUGAUAACUUUAGUGGCAGCAAUACACAGUUAUAGUGAGUGGUUUUGUUUUUAUUUUGUACAACAUUCAGAUGGAUUUUUUGCAGAAGCAAAUCCUUCCCAAUCUUGAACGAAUACCUUCGAAUAUUUGCUCAUAAAAAGCAGCACAAAAAAUUUGCUCAAUUACAAAACACAAAAUUGUUCCAAAUACCAGCUAAGAGAAAAUCGCGGCGGUUCUUUUCAUUAGGGUAGCAUUCGUUGUAAUCGAUCCAACCUUGCCAAAUGUUGUAACUCGAAUCCUACAAAUUGCUCCAAAGUAACCAAAAUUCUUCCACCGACAAAACGAAAGUGAAAAAUUUUCUUCCAAAACCAAACGCAAAAACUAAAUUUACCCAUUCUGGAUGAUUUUUACAAAAAGCUGCCAAAUUUGAAGAACAACUCAAACAAAACAAUCAAUCUAUUAGCUUCCUCUGAUGAAAAAAAAAACAAAUUUAAAAGUGAGAUAGGUACAAACAUCAUGCCAAGAGCCAACUUUCGAUACACACAUGCUAAAAAUAAUUUUAUCCGCCUGCGUCGUCUUGAUAAUUAAUUCGACUUUCUCUUUCCCGAGCAAAUGGCAGCGAUAUCAUCGUCAUACAUUAAAAGUAAAACUGAACAAUUCGGAUCAUUUGCAAAUCAUCGACGGCUUCCUUCCAGUUCCCAGUCCGAUGUUAAAAAUCCAAACUCACAAAACAAAUAAGAAUUCACAACCCAACAAUUAAAUCGGAAAAUUUAUCACUAGAAAAUAGGAGAAGCAAAAAAAAAUAACUAAGACCCACAUGUAUCUACAUUUUGAUAACAACACAACCUAACAUUGUACAUAAGCUCGAAGUAAUCCUUCGGAGAAAUAGUAGGAGGGGAAUCGCAAAAAAAAGAAUAACAAACAAGAAUAAAGAUCGAUAAUUCAAACAAAAAAAAAAUUACUAAAUUCCUAAAACAAAAUCAGCUAAUAAUGAAGAGAAAAUGUAACAAACAUUUUCUUAAUGAGAACUAAUAAAAACAAGAGAAGAACUUUAGCAAUAGAGAAAGAAAAAUAAAACCAAUUCGAAUGAAAGAAGAAAAAAAACAAACAAAAAUAUCACAAAAAAAACAUAAAUUUCGGAGCAUUUCAGCUCUAUAAAUAGGAAAAGAAAAAGGAAAACAACGCGAUUCACAUGCGGAUGAAACAUUCAUACAUUGUAUUGUCUUACUUUUAGUUUGUUUUGUAUAUAUUGAAUGGCGAUUGCGUAUGAGCAAGACACUAAAUCAAACUGAAUACACACAAACAAACAGAAAUAAAAUCAGACAGAUGACGGAUAACAAUUUGCAACAAUGAUAGUAAUGAGAAGGAAACAAACAACUGGCAAACAGAACAAUGGAUGAUUGUGCAAUUUACAAUUUAAUUACAUACAGUUUAAACAAACAUACACAAACACACAGAAACAACACGCAACUUAGUUAUAUACAGAAACAACAAAAAAAAACACAAUAUAAUGUAAGCGUCAGGCGAUAACAGCAAAACAAAACAAAACAGAAAAAAAGGUUAAAGUAAAUUCAAGUAAAGAGAAAGAGUAAUGUAAUGUGAGA